Molecule: ribosomal RNA, 848 nt
Filed under: uncultured bacterium
Lineage: Bacteria
Description: bacterial SSU rRNA
Rfam family: Bacterial small subunit ribosomal RNA
Source: RNAcentral
GGGGUAAGUGGAAUUCCAUGUGUAGCGGUAAAAUGCAUAGAGAUAUGGAGGAACACCAGUGGCGAAGGCGGCUUACUGGUCUGGAAUUGACACUGAGGCACGAAAGCGUGGGUAGCAAACAGGAUUAGAUACCCUGGUAGUCCACGCCGUAAACGAUGAGCACUAAGUGUCGGACGAAAGUUCGGUGCUGUAGUUAACGCAUUAAGUGCUCCGCCUGGGGAGUACGGUCGCAAGACUGAAACUCAAAGGAAUUGACGGGGACUCGCACAAGCGGUGGAGCAUGUGGUUUAAUUCGACGCAACGCGAAAAACCUUACCAGGCCUUGACAUCCCUUUGACGGGUGUAGAAAUACGCCUUUUCCCUUCGGGGGACAGAGGAGACAGGUGGUGCAUGGUUGUCGUCAGCUCGUGUCGUGAGAUGUUGGGUUAAGUCCCGCAACGAGCGCAACCCUUAUCAUUAGUUGCUAACAUUAAGUUGAGAACUCUAAUGAGACUGCCAGCGACAAGUUGGAGGAAGGUGGGGAUGACGUCAAAUCAUCAUGCCCCUUAUGGCCUGGGCUACACACGUGCUACAAUGGCCGGUACAAAGAGUGGCGAUACCGCGAGGUGGAGCAAAUCUCAAAAAACCGGUCUCAGUUCAGAUUGUAGUCUGCAACUCGACUACAUGAAGUCGGAAUCGCUAGUAAUCGUAAAUCAGCAUGUUACGGUGAAUACGUUCUCGAGUCUUGUACACACCGCCCGUCACACCAUGAGAGUUUGUAAUACCCGAAGCCGGUGGCCUAACCGAAAGGAGGGAGCCGUCUAAGGUAGGACAGAUGAUUGGGGUGAAGUCGUAACAAGGUAACCGUA